Molecule: long non-coding RNA, 777 nt
Organism: Scylla paramamosain (green mud crab)
Lineage: Eukaryota; Metazoa; Arthropoda; Malacostraca; Decapoda; Portunidae
Exons: 2
Source: RefSeq, a predicted model, not a curated record
AUCACCAGGCAGCAGUGCUCACCGUCGGGCCGCACACCGUCCCCGUGGAGCAGCAUAGCGAUGGGCAUCCCCACAUUCUUGCUCCUGCCACACACCACGGCAUUCUUACCAAAUGUCUCAAUGCCUGAAAAAAGUGCAAGCAGACACAUGCACAAGAUAGUACAACCAACAAACUGUGCCAAACAAACUGCUACAAUCCUGAACAAUGUGAACUGACGGACAUACAAAAUUUCUGUGUUGUGAAAUGGUACAAGGGCUGUACGGUUUACAGGGAACUCAGUAUUACUGAUGUGUACUACGAUGUUUAACAUUACAUUUUAAGGUGUAAAGACAUGCCAGUAAUAACUACUUACUGUGUCAGUCUACAGAGGCAAAAGAAACAAAAGUGUUGUAAAGGAACCAAUUUGCUGGACAUACCUGGUGGGGUGUGUGGCUCAAUAUUAAUUGAAACAGCAAAAAAAAUCACAAAGGAUAAAAUUAAGAAAAGGAUGAGUUUAGAACACUUAUGGCUGUCCCUUGAGGGAGUCCCUAGGAAGUGGUGUCAGAGUAGAAAGACACUGCUAUGACAACAGUACAGUAUUGUCAGUACAGUGAUGUCUGUGUAUGACCAUGCUCAUCAAAUUUCAAACCUGACACAGUUAACUUUUCAAAGUGCAUAUACUGACUUGUGCAAGAAAUCCAUUAUUUUGAGGUAAGUACUUGUUAGGGUUCUACACAAGCCCACACUCUUGGAAGUAGAUAUAACAUAAGUAGUGUAAUAAAGUCAAACCCUCUUAA